This 3596-nucleotide long non-coding RNA is filed under the name Mus musculus (house mouse). Its description in RNAcentral is "long non-coding RNA chr18:63951376-63954972". Lineage: Eukaryota; Metazoa; Chordata; Mammalia; Rodentia; Muridae. The record is from RNAcentral.
GGUGAUUUAUAUGGACUCUGACCAUGACCUAAACUCUAAAAUUUGCUUUAUACGCAUCAGAUUUCAAUAAUUGAGCAUACAGUGGGGACUCCAUCCAUCUCCCAGACACUAAAAUGUUAUAAGCAUCAACAAGUAAAUUAUUAUUUUUUAAUUCAUGUUGUUUCCAGUUGCAAAACAUUUCCUUAGAGAACCACAAGUUUGGAGUAUUUUAUAGUAUCAUUUCAGUAAAUGGCAUAGUUGUUUUUCUUACUACUUGAUAACAGUCAGCAAAUAGAGACCGGGAGGCAGGAAGACGAUGUAUUUUCUUGCUACUGGGCUGAGCAAAUAGAUACCAUGCUUUUGAAAUGCUGGAAGAGGUCAGAUCUUUGCUUUCCAAACCCGCUCGCAUGCCACUCCGCACAGAGCAGAUUUCUUUGUUUAAAAUGCUUUUGAUUUUGGCACAAUAGGCUCAUGUUGCAUGUAGCUCUGUAACAUUUUUGGAGGGAUACUUAAAGUUACUCGGGGCUUGUUCUAGGAUACAUUUUAACGCUUCACAGCAUCUUUUUAUUUAUUAAAUUUUUUAAAAUUUGAAUAACAGAUAUAAACCUUAAAAUAUUUUCCAGGUUUUUUUUCUUCCUGUACAUUUUCUUCGUGCUUUGAGGAAGCUGGCUCUGCAUAGUAACUUAGAAAUAACUCCUAAUGAUUAACAGAGUGAUGGAUGUGACAGAUCACCUUUUUCUUGAGAAAUAAUAAAUCAACAUAACCCUGCCCAUAAAUUUUUACUGAAAAAUGUGAAAUAUUAGCACCAUAUAUUUAACUAGGUGUCAGAUACAAACACUGUUGUCAAAGUGUUGCUCUCAGAACCAGUGGGCCACACUACAAUGGAACUUUCCUUUGUUUCUUUGGAGAAUAAUAUGAUUCAAAUACAAUUUUCAAUUCCUGAAACACCCUGUUUUUUACUUAUGUGUCCUUCUUGUGGUAAGCAAGGCACACAGUCUGAAAAUUCCCAAUAGUAGACCCCAAAGUCAAGAUAGAACAAUCUCUCAGAGAGAAUUAUUUACUCACAAAAAUUUAAGUUGAACUUGAAUUUUAGGAUGACUCACUACAGUGUUUCAUGAGGUAUGUUUGCCUAAUUCUGUCCUGGCUCUGUUAGUACAGCGUCAUUUUUUUUCCCUCCCUGCCCUUGUGGUGAUGUCAUUUUUUUAGGUGCACCGUAUUAAAAUCUGUUCAGAGUUUUGGGAAGCUCGGUUGGACACAACAUGUGACUGAAUUAAGAGGCUCGUGGCUACCCAGCCCUGGCUUUAUUUUCAUUUGGGAGUGUUUUCCUCAAGUCGCCAUGGUGUAUUGUGGGAAGUGGAGCAGGGCAGUGGCCUUCCCCUGGCUCUAUUGAUCUGCCCUUCAGCUGUGUGCAGCGCAGAGAACCUCAGGCCUUGUUGUUGAUUAUCUACACGGUGUCUCUGGGAGCUGUAUUGACCCAUUGCCGCCGACUGCCUGUAGCUCUUGAUUUUUCACACCGUCUCCAUGACACUCAUAAUAAAACAUACCAUCUUAUUGCUUCUCAGCUCUGGGAGUCAGUGCAGUCAGCCUUCACACACCACAAUGUUGCAGGAGAACAUUUAUUAUAUGUGGGAUAAAGUGGAGCAAUUUUAGGGCUCUGUGUUGUGUACUUUUGGUAGCUACCUCUAUAGCAAGAGCCCAUACAGAGUUUACAUUUCUGAUGCCUUUAAAAAGCCAAUGCUAGCUUCAUAUCUGUUUUUAAGAUGAAAAUUUGAAUAAUAAAUACAAAAUUAAUUGUGAAACAAUAGGCAUAUUAACCAAGUAUAUCUUGCAAAAAGAGAUUAACUUAGACACUCUGCAUUUCCAAGUACAUACAAGGAUUGUUCUAUGAUUUAUUACUGCCUUACAUGUUUAUUACAGUGGAUAGUAUGAUUAUGAGAAAUUAUGCAUGUUUUAAGGUUAUCCUUGCCUGAUGUCCUAGAUACUUCAGUGUUUUGAGUAAAAUCUUUCUUAGCUAUCUUGAAAGAUUUACUUUCUAUUUAAGAUAUAAAUGGUUUUCUUUGAACAUAGAUUUUUUCAGUAUUAGUGCUUUUAUCUUGUACUAAUAUCAGAAUAUUUUAGAUUUUGUUAUUACCUACAUGUUUUGCAAUCCAGAAUUAUCAUCAACAGUUCCUUUGUGCCACAUAUGUUGAAUAUUAUUAUAAACAGAGCUGAGAGACCUGGGAAGGCAGGGUUUAUUUUUCUAGUAGAGAGAAUAACAUGCAGGUGUUUCCAAGACAGCCUUCUACUAUUGUAAUACACUGUAGCUACUUUAUUGUAUGCAAGAUAAUGUAGCACCAGAGAGAGAGAGAAACAGAGAGAGAGAGAGGGAGAGAGAGAGAGAGAGAGAUUGAAUUCUAAUCUUAGCCUAGAGAUUUUUGUAGGAGAGUGAAAGGAAGAGAAUUACAGGUGGGAUUAUUAAUAUAAUUGCUCUUUGCUGAAGUUAAUUUGAGUGUUUCUAUUAGAGAAGAUGAAAAACAAUUUAACAAACCUCAUUUUAAUAAAGUCAGCCUUUGCGAACUAUAAUGGAACUCCUAUCUGCCUGUUACACACAUUCACCUUUGUGAAGUAUCUAUAAGCUUCACCAGGGAGAGAAGAAGAGAGGGAAGGCACCCUGGCCGUUAAGCUUCCUGUCAUUGAUCCACAGUUAAUUUUUCACAGUUUGAAAUAAUUAUUUCUUUUUGGGUGGGGUUAUAGAUUUAGCAUUUAUAUUCUGCUGGUUUUGGUUAGGGUUGGUUUUAGGUUUGAAAGAUACAUAGUUGUCUAGCUGCUUUUAAAAAUAUCAAUCCAUUGUAAACUAAGAACUCUGAAGUGGAAGCUUUCAGCUAGUGCUGUUUUAAGAACUGUCAUGGUGUAGUGUAGCCUCCCAGGAACCCAGAUAUGUCCACUUAAAGCAGGUGGGCCAUGGGUUCAAGGCCAGCUUAGGCUACAGAGAGAGUUCAAGGCCAGACUGAGCUAUAUGAGGAAGACCCUGUUUCAGAAAACCAAGAAAAUAAGCAAGCCAAACAAAACCUACAACUGAAAAAAAUCAGAGUAAAAGCAUUAUUACCCCUUCUCCCAAAUUAGCAUCUUUCUUUCAUUCCUUUAAAUUAAAAAAUGAAGUCUCUCCAGUGUUUUUUAAUUAUAAUUGUUUAGUUUUUUUCCAAAUAUUUUAUUAGUGUGUAUUCAUUGAGUGAGGUGCUGACACACAAUUUCACCAGUAACGUGGUGAUGGUAAGUGCCAUAAGCCUCUUGCUUCUCGCAGAGACCUGUUCAAUUCUAGGCUCCAUGACCUCUGGCAAAUAUGACAGGGCACGUUUCACCCACUGUCGUGAACACACUGCCCAGCAGUGGCUGACUCACACCUGCAUGGACACAGCUGGGCUGUCUGACUGAGCAUCCGGCUCACAGGAGCCGCAUUUACAGUUACUCUGAGGUUGUCAUGUAGAUGGUGUUUGUUGGAUAAGGUUCACAUUCCACUUAAGCCUAAGUACGCCCCUUUGUCUCAGACCUCAGGAACCACUCUUAAGUGUACAGGAGACUUCCUCUAACAGAGCCUUCAGCAUCAGGUAUUGCAAAGGUUAAGCCUUAUCAUCGGCACC